UGGGGAAUAUUGCACAAUGGGCGCAAGCCUGAUGCAGCCAUGCCGCGUGUAUGAAGAAGGCCUUCGGGUUGUAAAGUACUUUCAGUCGGGAGGAAGGUGGUAAGGUUAAUAACCUUAUCAAUUGACGUUACCGACAGAAGAAGCACCGGCUAACUCCGUGCCAGCAGCCGCGGUAAUACGGAGGGUGCAAGCGUUAAUCGGAAUUACUGGGCGUAAAGCGCACGCAGGCGGUUGAUUGAGUCAGAUGUGAAAUCCCCGGGCUUAACCCGGGAAUUGCAUCUGAUACUGGUCAGCUAGAGUCUUGUAGAGGGGGGUAGAAUUCCAUGUGUAGCGGUGAAAUGCGUAGAGAUGUGGAGGAAUACCGGUGGCGAAGGCGGCCCCCUGGACAAAGACUGACGCUCAGGUGCGAAAGCGGGGGGAGCAAACAGG
RNAcentral lists this ribosomal RNA (429 nucleotides) under Chloroflexota bacterium. RNAcentral's name for it is "Chloroflexi bacterium partial 16S ribosomal RNA". It matches the Rfam family "Bacterial small subunit ribosomal RNA", at positions 355 to 776 of the family's 1533-position model. Lineage: Bacteria; Bacillati; Chloroflexota. The record is from RNAcentral.